Vicugna pacos (alpaca) is the source of this 625-nucleotide non-coding RNA. Lineage: Eukaryota; Metazoa; Chordata; Mammalia; Artiodactyla; Camelidae. The record is from RefSeq and is a predicted model, not a curated record.
UCUCCCGGCUCCGGUACAGGCAUGGCCAAGUCGAAGAACCACACCACACACAACCAGUCCCGAAAAUGGCAUAGAAACGGCAUCAAAAAACCCCGAUCACAACGAUACGAAUCUCUUAAGGGGGUAGACCCCAAGUUCCUGAGGAACAUGCGCUUUGCCAAGAAGCACAACAAGAAGGGCCUGAAGAAGAUGCAGGCCAACAAUGCCAAGGCCAUGAGUGCACGUGCUGAGGCUAUCAAGGCUCUCGUAAAGCCCAAGGAGGUCAAGCCCACGAUUCCAAAGGGCAGCAGCCGCAAGCUCAGUCGACUUGCCUACAUUGCUCACCCCAAGCUCGGGAAACGUGCUCGUGCCCGCAUUGCCAAGGGUCUCAGGCUCUGUCGGCCAAAGGCCAAGGACAAGGCUCAGACCAAGGCUGCAGCUAUAGCUCUGGCUCCGGCUCCAGCUCCAGCUCAGUCUCCCAAAGGCACCCAGGCCCCCACAAAGGCUCCAGAGUAGAGGCUUUCAUCUAGUGAUGUCAGGAUGUAAGGACUAGUGUGACCCCUGGGCAGCUGUCUGCAUGGGGCUCAUGUCUACCUGUGCUGUUUGUACAAAUAAACCUGAGGCAGGAAAAAAAAGAAAAAAAAAA